UGGGGAAUUUUGGACAAUGGGCGAAAGCCUGAUCCAGCAAUGCCGCGUGUGUGAAGAAGGCCUUCGGGUUGUAAAGCACUUUUGUCCGGAAAGAAAUCCUUGGCUCUAAUACAGUCGGGGGAUGACGGUACCGGAAGAAUAAGCACCGGCUAACUACGUGCCAGCAGCCGCGGUAAUACGUAGGGUGCAAGCGUUAAUCGGAAUUACUGGGCGUAAAGCGUGCGCAGGCGGUUUGCUAAGACCGAUGUGAAAUCCCCGGGCUCAACCUGGGAACUGCAUUGGUGACUGGCAGGCUAGAGUAUGGCAGAGGGGGGUAGAAUUCCACGUGUAGCAGUGAAAUGCGUAGAGAUGUGGAGGAAUACCGAUGGCGAAGGCAGCCCCCUGGGCCAAUACUGACGCUCAUGCACGAAAGCGUGGGGAGCAAACAGGAUUAGAUACCCUGGUAGUCCACGCCCUAAAACGAUGUCAACUAGUUGUUGGGGAUUCAUUUCCUUAGUAACGUAGCUAACGCGUGAAGUUGACCGCCUGGGGAGUACGGUCGCAAGAUUAAAACUCAAGGAAUUGACGGGGUCAUA
RNAcentral lists this ribosomal RNA (575 nucleotides) under uncultured bacterium. Its description in RNAcentral is "partial 16S ribosomal RNA". It matches the Rfam family "Bacterial small subunit ribosomal RNA", at positions 355 to 923 of the family's 1533-position model. The record is from RNAcentral.